Molecule: long non-coding RNA, 1719 nt
Organism: Capsicum annuum
Lineage: Eukaryota; Viridiplantae; Streptophyta; Magnoliopsida; Solanales; Solanaceae
Exons: 2
Source: RefSeq, a predicted model, not a curated record
AAUAAUAAUCCAAUUUCAUUUUUAUUUCAUCAGGACUCAACUCUUAUUUUAUAAAUUUCAACCAACAGACCCAAAUUGGCCCGAAAACCCAGUCUAAUAUCCAUGUCCACUUUAUCGAUCCACCACACUGUAUCCACCAACCAUAUGUAGCCACGUUGUAAAAAAAUAACAAUUCUCACACUUCGACCAAACUAAUUCGAUUCGCUGAUUUAAUCCAGUCCAAGAAUCCCAAAAUUUUAUAAUUUGUGUUAUUUGUUAUUUAUUUUAUUUCUUAUAUUAAAAUGUGGACCGUCCGCUUAAACAAUCGGACCGCCCGUAUUUGAGUCAACAAAUUGAUACAAGUACAUCAAAUAUUUUUUUAUUUCCCAAAAAUUCUGUCACGCGUGUCUCCCCAUUUUCCAACAAACCAGCGUACAGUCUCCAUCUUUCUUUCCCAAAAUAGUCCGCUAUUUCCUCUCAAUUCUCCACCUCUCUCCUCCACCAUCACCAAAAUCAGAAAGCUCUGACCACCAUAGUUGGUCGUCGCUGCCACCACCGUUGUCCCUAGCCUACUCGAAUCUCCCAUUUACAUCAUCCCAAACCCGUGAAUCCAAAAAAAACAGAGAAGAGCAGUCCCAAAAUGGUAUAACAAGCUAUUGUUGAUUUCAAAUCCACCGUUAAUGGCCUGGAAAAGCUAAUAUUUUGAGAUUCUUUUGUGAUUUGAAUUCAAAUUUCAUCCUCCCUCUUUCCCAUUUUUUAUUUUAAGGUUACAAAUCCGAACUUUCAAGUCCGGAUUUGCACCUAUAAAUAGUGGCUUCUCCACCUAUAUGGGACGAAGUUCAAUAUCGGAAAAAAUCAAAAAAAAUUCAAAAUAAGCUUGGGAGAUCCGUGGGAAAGGGGAAGAAACUGAAAAAAUAAUGGGUUGAAGAGGUUGUAAGCGAGAAAAUAAGGGGCUGAAAAUUGUGGACUUUUUUAGGGGUUUUCAAAAUUGGAGAAGAAGGGAAGUUAAAGGCCAAGGAAAUCGAGUGAAAAGGCUUCAACACGUGGAAAAACUUCGAAUAAGUUCUGUUUUCAUUGGAAAAUUUUGAGGUCAAAAAAGGAGAGAUUGAAAAGAGGAAAUGAGGAAAACCAGUAAAAUAGGCAGGGGUCUCAGAAUCGGCUGUCUCUUUCCUAUUUUUGGUCCAAAUUUUUAGUCCCAAAUUUGAAUUCAUUGCUGGAAAAUUCCUAGACGUUAAAGCCCCAAUUUGUUGUGCCAAACAAGGAAUUACAAACUUGGAGUCAUAACUCAAAGGUGAAGACCGGAGUUGCUUCUAUCGGCUGCUGGAGAUAACACACCAAGCUCAACCUUUGUUCAUUUUUUAUCAUUAUUGAUGGGUUGUCUAUCUUAAAUUAACACUCUUUUAAUUGGAAAAAAAGGAUAUGGAUAUUGUUGUUUAUGUUGGAAACGUGGCAGGCUAGUGGUUGUAUUUAUUAAUUACUGUAGCAUGGAUUGUGCAAGUAGUGGGUUCAAGGAUUGAUUUGGAAAGUUGAGGGAUAUUGUGAAGGGGUAAUGAUUAGGUAUUGAAUGAUGGGGUAAUGAUGGGAAGAUAUUGUGGGAGUUGGUAGUUGCUGGAAGUUGUUAGUGGAUUAGUUUUGCAUGGAAAUUUAGGGUCUAGUAAUUGUAGUGCUACGUUGAUUGCUGGAUAGAAUUUUUAUAAGAUUUUACUCUCUCUAUUUCAAAAUAAUUGAAUUAUUAGAAUA